GAUCCUGGCUCAGGAUGAACGCUAGCUACAGGCUUAACACAUGCAAGUCGAGGGGCAGCGGGAAGUCAGCUUGCUGACUUUGCCGGCGACCGGCGCACGGGUGAGUAACACGUAUCCAACCUCCCGCAUACUCGGGAAUAGCCUUUCGAAAGAAAGAUUAAUGCCCGAUGGUUUCAAGGGAUUGCAUGGUAAUCUUUGAAUAAAGAUUCAUCGGUAUGCGAUGGGGAUGCGGUUCC
Molecule: ribosomal RNA, 236 nt
Filed under: uncultured bacterium
Lineage: Bacteria
Description: partial 16S ribosomal RNA
Rfam family: Bacterial small subunit ribosomal RNA
Source: RNAcentral